GUGUCUCCUCCUGGCCCUUAGUCCUUCCCCAUCAUAGAGAAUCUUCUCCAGCUUGGAGAUCAUCCUUACCUUACAUUAAUGGAGAUGAGGAAGAAAUAUGGAGAUGUCUUUCUCCUCAAACUUGGCAUGGUGCCUGUCUUGGUGGUAAAUGGAAUGGAAAUGGUGAAACAAGUACUACAUAAGGAUGGGGAGCAUUUUGCAGGCAGACCUAACAUGCACACAUUUUCUUUCCUGGCAGAAGGAAAGAGUCUUUCAUUUUCAGUGAAUUAUGGAGAGAGUUGGAAACUUCAUAAAAAAAUUGCCUCUAAAGCCUUAUGAACUUUUUCUAAUGCAGAAGCGAAAUCCUCCACUUGCUCUUGCUCACUUGAGGAGCAUGUCACUGAAGAAAUUUCUGAACUGGUGACAGUCUUUGUAGAGUUGACUUCCAAGAAUGGCAGCUUUGACCCCAGAAAUGCGAUCACCUGUGUGGUGGCCAACAUUGUCUGUGCCCUUUGCUUUGGCAAGAGAUAGGACCACAGUGAUGAGGAAUUUCUUAGGAUAGUUAAAACAAAUGACGACUUACUCAAGGCCUCCAGUGCAGCUAACCCUGCCGAUUUCAUACCAUGUCUCCACUACCUUCCACUGAAGAUUAUAAAUGCUCCUCUGGAGUUUUACCAGGCCCUGAAUGGGUUUAUUGCACUACACGUACAAGAUCAUCUUGCUACCUAUGGAUCAUAUCCGAGACAUUACUGAUGCUCUGAUUAAUGUAUGCCACAACAAAUAUGCUGCUACCAAAACAGACACCUUGAAUGACAGUGAAAUCAUAAGCACCGUGAGCGACCUCUUUGGAGCUGGGUUUGAAACAGUAUCAACAUGUCUAUGUUGGAGCUUUCUUUAUUUGAUACACUAUCCAGAAAUUCAAGCCAGAAUUCAAGAAGAAAUUGGAUGGAAACAUUGGGCUGAGACCACCCAGAUUUGAAGACAGGAAAAUUUUACCAUACACAGAAGCUUUCGUAAGUGAAGUAUUCAGACAUGCCUCUUUUCUUCCAUUUACUAUUCCACAUUGUACUACAGCAGACACCACUCUGAAUGGCUAUUUCAUUCCCAGGAAAACUUGCACCUUUAUCAACAUGUAUCAAGUAAAUCAUGAUGAAACUAUUUGGGAUAAUCAUAGUUUAUUUAGACCUGACAGAUUUCUAAACGAAAACAGAGAACUGAAUAAAAGUCUUGUUGAGAAAGUUUUGAUAUUUGGAAUGGGCAUCCGGAAGUGUCUGGGAGAAGAUGUUGCACGCAAUGAGAUAUUCAUUUUCAUCACUACCGUUCUGCAGCAGUUCAAGCUGAAAAAAUGACCAAGAGCCAAGCUAGACCUGACUCCUACAUACGGGUUAGUCAUGAGGCCAAAACUAUACCAACUCCAAGCAGAACUCCACCCCUCAGGCAGUUCAUCUGCUUAG
Molecule: long non-coding RNA, 1433 nt
Filed under: Homo sapiens (human)
Lineage: Eukaryota; Metazoa; Chordata; Mammalia; Primates; Hominidae
Description: non-protein coding lnc-ANXA1-7:1
Source: RNAcentral